UGUUGCCAUGGCGAACCUCAGCUGAGAAUCCGCCCAGCAGGAUGAUGGGAAGCCAGAUGGGGUUUGACAGAAAGGAACAGCGCUGCUUCUCUCCCUUCCUGCCCCGCAGCGCGCCGGUGCCGAGGGGACCCAGGCAGACUCUUGGGAACGGGGACCUCGGGUUUAUGGCGUAACAUCCGAAUCCGACAGGGUCGAGCGUACCCCCACCGAAACCCGCAAUCCGCCAGCAGGGGGCUCCAACCAGCGUCUGCCUGUUCUUCAGUAUAGCAUUGUGGGGGCCUGGAGCCUAUCCCAGGUACCACAAGGACCAGGGCAGUGGACACAGCACCUUGGGGGGUGACCUAGGAAGGCUCACGACCAGAUCCACAACGGGGGCCUCUCAUAGCGAGCCACGGAAUAAAACUACCGGCGGCAUCUGAACCUCCACCCGUGACACUCCAGGGCAAUGCCGCAGAAACUUCCGGAUAAUGAUCCAGCAUGAAGUCGGCAGCACACAAGCUCUAAAAGUGAUGAGGAUGGUCGACGUGCUGUAACCGAAAUCCACUUCCUGUGGAUUGAAUCCUCACCAUCUCACACAUGAGUCAGUCUCCCGUUACGGCGAGAGCAUGUCUGGGGGACUUUAAAACGGGUUGGACAGGACGAGCGGGAGGACGAGCGCCAGGACGGCAGGGGAUGGGAGGGGCGUGUCCUGACGAAGCAGUGCUGAACCCAGCCCAGUUAAACGAGAGAGCUCCACCAAUCACGCUGUUCCAUUAGGGAUUUGCCUCUAAAGAGAAAACCUCACGUGUGUUUGUUUGGGGGCACCACAGGCCGAAGGAUCGAUGAAUUGCACUGGAAAAUUGUAGUAAAGGGACAAGGGGAAAUGGGUCCAACAAGCAUAUCCCAAUGAGAUUUGGAUCUUCAAGACACAACGGAACAUAACCAGUGUCCUUUUAAGGUGACUGGGAGGCAGGGUGUGUCACUGUCAUUGGCUGUGACACCACAACCUUCUUCCUGCUAU
Long non-coding RNA from Paramormyrops kingsleyae, 1000 nucleotides. RefSeq lists it as uncharacterized. The record is from RefSeq and is a predicted model, not a curated record. Lineage: Eukaryota; Metazoa; Chordata; Actinopteri; Osteoglossiformes; Mormyridae.